RNAcentral lists this transfer RNA (75 nucleotides) under Providencia rettgeri. RNAcentral describes it as "tRNA-Met". It matches the Rfam family "tRNA". Rfam says of the family: Transfer RNA (tRNA) molecules are approximately 80 nucleotides in length. Their secondary structure includes four short double-helical elements and three loops (D, anti-codon, and T loops). The record is from RNAcentral. Lineage: Bacteria; Pseudomonadati; Pseudomonadota; Gammaproteobacteria; Enterobacterales; Morganellaceae.
GGCUAUGUAGCUCAGUUGGUUAGAGCACAACACUCAUAAUGUUAGUCACAGGUUCGAAUCCCGUCGUAGCUACCA